ACAAGGAGAAGACCCAGGCCCUGCAGAAC
This 29-nucleotide non-coding RNA is filed under the name Homo sapiens (human). The record is from RNAcentral. Lineage: Eukaryota; Metazoa; Chordata; Mammalia; Primates; Hominidae.